This 1414-nucleotide unclassified non-coding RNA is filed under the name uncultured Neocallimastigales. RNAcentral describes it as "partial contains small subunit ribosomal RNA, internal transcribed spacer 1, 5.8S ribosomal RNA, internal transcribed spacer 2, and large subunit ribosomal RNA". The stretch from base 658 to 1414 matches the Rfam family "Eukaryotic large subunit ribosomal RNA", at positions 1 to 617 of the family's 3401-position model. Lineage: Eukaryota; Fungi; Neocallimastigomycota; Neocallimastigomycetes; Neocallimastigales. The record is from RNAcentral.
UUUCCGUAGGUGAACCUGCGGAAGGAUCAUUAAAAAAUUGGACUCCAUUGGUGAGUUCAUUAAUAAUCCCUACCCUUUGUGAAUUUGUUUGUUUGAAUAAUUUUUUUCCAAAAAAAAUUAUUGAAUGUCUUUCCUUGUUUUGGUGGAGCUUGUAAAGUGAAACCAGGCAGGGGAAUGGCAAACAAUAAUUAUUUUUGAAAAAGACCUUUUUUUAAAAUUAAACUUUUUGUAUUCAUUUGUCUAAAAUUAAUUUUUAUAAUAUAAAGACAACUUUUGACAAUGGAUCUCUUGGUUCUCGCAACGAUGAAGAACGCAGCAAAAUGCGAUAAGUAGUGUGAAUUGCAGAAUACGUGAAUCAUCGAAUCUUCGAACGCAUAUUGCACUUCUUAGUUUACUAAAAAAGUAUGUCUGUUUGAGUAUCAGUAAAUAUUCUCAUAAAAAACAUUGUUUUUUUUAUGGUUAUGAGUGUUUUACAACGAUAACAAGUUGUUUCACUUUAAAUUCUUUGUUAUCAAAAAAAUCAUUAAAAGCUAAUUUUAAAGAUUUUUUAAAAUUGGAUAAAAUUUUCCCGUAAAAAGGAAUAACCUAAACAAUUUUAAAAAAUUAAAAUUGGUUUGAUUUUUUUGAAACCCAGAGGAAAAAAAAACGAAAUUAACUUGAUCUCAAAUCAGAUAAGAGUACCCGCUGAACUUAAGCAUAUCAAUAAGCGGAGGAAAAGAAACUAACUAGGAUUCCCUCAGUAACGGCGAGUGAAGCGGGAAGAGCUCAAAUUUGAAAUCUCAAGGUUUUACCUUGACGAAUUGUAGUUUAAAGAAGUGUUUUCUGUUGGAGUUUUGGUAAAAGUUCUUUGGAAAAGGACAUCAUAGAGGGUGAGAAUCCCGUAUUUGACCAUUAUCUCCAGCUUUGUGAUACACUUUCAAAGAGUCGGAUUGUUUGGGAAUGCAGUCCAAAAUGGGUGGUAAAUUUCAUCUAAAGCUAAAUACUGGCGAGAGACCGAUAGCGAACAAAUACCGUGAGGGAAAGAUGAAAAGAACUUUGAAAAGAGAGUUAAACAGUACGCGAAAUUGUCAAAAGGGAAGCGUUUGACACCAGUGUUGUUUUCUCGAAAAUCAAUUAAAAAAGGCCGGAUUUUGUGUUGUAUUGACUUUAUCAGCUUUCUGCACUCUUUUCUUGUCUUUUUUAAUGCACUUUUCGUUUAACAAGUCAACAUCAAUUUCUUUUGUUGUAAAAGGGUCAUUGGAAGGUGGCUUUCUUUUCGGAGAAAGUGUUUAUAGCCUUUGGCCUCUGCAAUCGGAGAGAUUGAGGUCUGCAGCGUAGAUCCUUCGGGGUUAGAUACAUUUGUGCUAAGUUAUAGCCUUUCAUAGACAACUUGUUGACUAUGAUCAGUCAUGUAGCUUACUCGCUUAUGCUAUUU